UGGGUAGUCCGCACGAGCGCACCCUUUUCUUAGUUGCCAGCACGUUAUGGUGGGGACUCUAAGGAUACCGCCUGGGACAACCAGGAGGAAGGUGGGGAUGAUGUCAAGUCAGUAUGUCCCUUAUGUCCAGGGCUACACACGUGUUACAAUGGUAAGUACAAUGGGUCGCCAACCCGCGAGGGGGAGCUAAUCCCAAAAAACUUACCCCAGUUCAGAUUGGAGUCUGCAACUCGACUCCAUGAAGGAGGAAUCGCUAGUAAUCGUGGAUCAGCACGCCACGGUGAAUACGUUCCCGGGUCUUGUACACACCGCCCGUCACGCCAUGGAAGUCAGCAGUACCCGAAGCCGGUGGCCUAACCUUCGGGAGGGAGCCGUCUAAGGUAAGGCUGGUAACUGGGGCGAAGUCGUAACAAGGUAGCCGUACCGGAAGGUGCGGCUGGAUCACCUCCUUUCU
Molecule: ribosomal RNA, 454 nt
Filed under: uncultured delta proteobacterium
Lineage: Bacteria; Deltaproteobacteria
Description: bacterial SSU rRNA
Rfam family: Bacterial small subunit ribosomal RNA
Source: RNAcentral